GACGAACGCUGGCGGCGUGCUUAACACAUGCAAGUCGAACGGAAAGGCCCUGCUUUUGUGGGGUGCUCGAGUGGCGAACGGGUGAGUAACACGUGAGUAACCUGCCCUUGACUUUGGGAUAACUUCAGGAAACUGGGGCUAAUACCGGAUAGGAGCUCCUGCUGCAUGGGGGGGGUUGGAAAGUUUCGGCGGUUGGGGAUGGACUCGCGGCUUAUCAGCUUGUUGGUGGGGUAGUGGCUUACCAAGGCUUUGACGGGUAGCCGGCCUGAGAGGGUGACCGGCCACAUUGGGACUGAGAUACGGCCCAGACUCCUACGGGAGGCAGCUGUGGGGAAUAUUGCACAAUGGGCGGAAGCCUGAUGCAGCAACGCCGCGUGCGGGAUGACGGCCUUCGGGUUGUAAACCGCUUUCGCCUGUGACGAAGCGUGAGUGACGGUAAUGGGUAAAGAAGCACCGGCUAACUACGUG
This 468-nucleotide ribosomal RNA is filed under the name uncultured bacterium. Its description in RNAcentral is "partial 16S ribosomal RNA". It matches the Rfam family "Bacterial small subunit ribosomal RNA", at positions 28 to 507 of the family's 1533-position model. The record is from RNAcentral.